This 65-nucleotide transfer RNA is filed under the name Dipodomys ordii (Ord's kangaroo rat). It matches the Rfam family "tRNA". From Rfam's summary of the family: Transfer RNA (tRNA) molecules are approximately 80 nucleotides in length. Lineage: Eukaryota; Metazoa; Chordata; Mammalia; Rodentia; Heteromyidae. The record is from Rfam by way of RNAcentral.
GGUGGCUCGGUGGUAGAGCGUUUGCCUUGCAUGCAAGAGGCCCUGGGUUCAAUUCCUCAGCACCA